This 301-nucleotide ribosomal RNA is filed under the name uncultured bacterium. RNAcentral's name for it is "partial 16S ribosomal RNA". It matches the Rfam family "Bacterial small subunit ribosomal RNA", at positions 509 to 807 of the family's 1533-position model. The record is from RNAcentral.
CAGUCGCCACGGUAAUACGUAGGGUGCGAGCGUUAAUCGGAAUUACUGGGCGUAAAGCGUGCGCAGGCGGUUUGUUAAGUCUGUUGUGAAAUCCCCGGGCUCAACCUGGGAAUGGCAAUGGAUACUGGCAAGCUAGAGUGUGUCAGAGGAUGGUGGAAUUCCCGGUGUAGCGGUGAAAUGCGUAGAGAUCGGGAGGAACAUCAGUGGCGAAGGCGGCCAUCUGGGACAACACUGACGCUGAGGCACGAAAGCGUGGGGAGCAAACAGGAUUAGAUACCCCCGUAGUCCCUGUCUCUUAUAC